RNAcentral lists this ribosomal RNA (447 nucleotides) under uncultured bacterium. RNAcentral describes it as "SSU rRNA". It matches the Rfam family "Bacterial small subunit ribosomal RNA", at positions 26 to 518 of the family's 1533-position model. The record is from RNAcentral.
AGAACGAACGCUGGCGGCAGGCCUCAAACAUGCAAGUCUAGGGGGCGUAGCAAUACGUCACCGGCGGACGGGUGCGUAACACGUGGGAAUGUACUUACUGGUUCGGAACAACUCAGGGAAACUUGAGCUAAUACCGAAUGUGCCCGAAAGGGGAAAGAUUUAUCGCCAGUAAAUCAGCCCGCGUCCGAUUAGCUAGUUGGCGGGGUAAAGGCCCACCAAGGCGACGAUCGGUAGCUGUUCUGAGAGGAAGAUCAGCCACACUGGGACUGAGACACGGCCCAGACUCCUACGGGAGGCAGCAGUUGGGAAUCUUGGACAAUGGGGGAACCCUGAUCCAGCCAUGCCGCGUGAGUGAUGAAGGCCUUCGGGUUGUAAAACUCUUUCGACGGGGACGAUAAUGACGGUACCCGUAGAAGAAGCUCCGGCUAACUUCGCGCCAGCAGCCGC